Molecule: non-coding RNA, 49 nt
Filed under: Alexandrium minutum
Lineage: Eukaryota; Dinophyceae; Gonyaulacales; Pyrocystaceae
Source: RNAcentral
UUUUUUUUUUUUUUUUUUUUUUUUUUUUUUUUUUUUUUUUCCUUGUUCA